UUCAACUACCAGCCCAAGGAGUUCAUCCUGGAUCCGCGGUUCAGCGGCCCGGAGGAGUACAUCAUGUCCACGCAGACCCCGGAGCCGCCCCCCACGCCGGUGGCGCUCGCCCUCUCCCCGGCGCUCUGGCAGCUCAACCUCCCGGAUAGGUUCGACUCGUAUUCCGCGGGCGUGACGCUGCUGCAGAUGUGCCUGCCCACGCUCCGCAGCGACAACAACCUCAUCGCCUUCAGGAAAAAGCUCGAGGAGAACGGCGAGAGCCUCAGUCAGUGGCGUCAGGAGCUCCCACCGCGGUGGUUCAGCGGUGCGGACGGCGAGGGCUUUGACGUCUUGGACCAGGACGACCGGGCCGGCU
RNAcentral lists this long non-coding RNA (355 nucleotides) under Micromonas commoda. RNAcentral's name for it is "long non-coding RNA (MCOM_LNC000141)". Lineage: Eukaryota; Viridiplantae; Chlorophyta; Mamiellophyceae; Mamiellales; Mamiellaceae. The record is from RNAcentral.